This 253-nucleotide ribosomal RNA is filed under the name uncultured bacterium. RNAcentral's name for it is "partial 16S ribosomal RNA". It matches the Rfam family "Bacterial small subunit ribosomal RNA", at positions 524 to 776 of the family's 1533-position model. The record is from RNAcentral.
GACGUAGGGCGCGAGCGUUGUCCGGAUUUAUUGGGCGUAAAGAGCUCGUAGGCGGCUUGUCGCGUCGUCCGUGAAAACCCGGGGCUCAACCCCGGGCCUGCAUUCGAUACGGGCAGACUAGAGUUCGGUAGGGGAGUCUGGAAUUCCUGGUGUAGCGGUGAAAUGCGCAGAUAUCAGGAGGAACACCGGUGGCGAAGGCGGGACUCUGGGCCGAUACUGACGCUGAUGCGCGAAAGCCAGGGGAGCGAACGGG